UACGGAGGGUGCAAGCGUUUAAUCGGAAUUACUGGGCGUAAAGCGUGCGCAGGCGGUUUGUUAAGUCUGCUGUGAAAUCCCCGAGCUCAACUUGGGAAUUGCAGUGGAUACUGGCAAGCUGGAGUACGGUAGAGGAAGGUGGAAUUCCCGGUGUAGCAGUGAAAUGCGUAGAGAUCGGGAGGAACACCGGUGGCGAAGGCGGGUCUCUGGGCCGAUACUGACGCUGAGGAGCGAAAGCGUGGGGAGCGAACAGG
Molecule: ribosomal RNA, 254 nt
Filed under: uncultured bacterium
Lineage: Bacteria
Description: partial 16S ribosomal RNA
Rfam family: Bacterial small subunit ribosomal RNA
Source: RNAcentral